UAUUUUUCCACUUUACUAUCAGCGUGUAUAAUCUAUCUGCUUCUGUAAUUUGAUUCCGCACAUCUUGGUUUCAGGCUUUAAAAGAGAACCGGCUUAAUCAGUGCACAGCCACCUGGCAGCUCCUUACCUGCUGGAAGAGUGAACAGAUGAUAAGGAAACGACAGGAUCCAUUCCAGCGACUGUCUGAAGACUUCAGAGAUAAACUGACUUCAGAGGAAAGAAAGCAAUUGAAGGUUUUCCUUGGGCUCACAGAUACUGACAUUUUCUCUUUGGAGCUACAUGAGAUCCUUCAGCUCAAGACCAACAGCACUGUUGAAGAAGGCUUCGCGCCACACUGGGAGUAAGAACUGAUCUUAUUUUGUUACAUUUUCAUAUUAUUUGCCCAGCAUUCCAGCCUUCUGGACUCACCAUUUGUGGGGUUUGAUGCGGCAAACUGGCCACAAAAGGCAAAGUGAGCCUGACCAUUUUUCACAGAUGUCAGACAUUUGAUUUUUUACAUUUAAAUAUUAUAUGGGAUAGUGUGAUGAGCCAGUUAUUAUUACAAAAUACUUUCAAACAUUCACAGGGUGAUUGGGAC
Molecule: long non-coding RNA, 577 nt
Filed under: Sinocyclocheilus grahami
Lineage: Eukaryota; Metazoa; Chordata; Actinopteri; Cypriniformes; Cyprinidae
Description: lncRNA (ENSSGRG00000003285.1)
Source: RNAcentral